Molecule: ribosomal RNA, 474 nt
Filed under: uncultured organism
Description: partial 16S ribosomal RNA
Rfam family: Bacterial small subunit ribosomal RNA
Source: RNAcentral
CACUCCUGCGGGAGGCAGCAGUGGGGAAUUUUGGACAAUGGGCGAAAGCCUGAUCCAGCAAUGCCGCGUGCAGGAUGAAGGCCUUCGCGUUGUAAACUGCUUUUGUACGGAACGAAAAAGCUCCUUCUAAUACAGGGGGCCCAUGACGGUACCGUAAGAAUAAGCACCGGCUAACUACGUGCCAGCAGCCGCGGUAAUACGUAGGGUGCGAGCGUUAAUCGGAAUUACUGGGCGUAAAGCGUGCGCAGGCGGUUAUGUAAGACAGAUGUGAAAUCCCCGGGCUCAACCUGGGAACUGCAUUUGUGACUGCAUGGCUAGAGUACGGUAGAGGGGGAUGGAAUUCCGCGUGUAGCAGUGAAAUGCGUAGAUAUGCGGAGGAACACCGAUGGCGAAGGCAAUCCCCUGGACCUGUACUGACGCUCAUGCACGAAAGCGUGGGGAGCAAACAGGAUUAGAAACCCGAGUAGUCCCAUG